RNAcentral lists this unclassified non-coding RNA (326 nucleotides) under soil metagenome. RNAcentral's name for it is "partial contains 5.8S ribosomal RNA, internal transcribed spacer 2, and large subunit ribosomal RNA". The stretch from base 1 to 120 matches the Rfam family "5.8S ribosomal RNA", at positions 35 to 154 of the family's 154-position model. The record is from RNAcentral.
GAUGAAGAACGUAGCGAAAUGCGAUAAGUAAUGUGAAUUGCAGAAUUCAGUGAAUCAUCGAAUCUUUGAACGCACAUUGCGCCCCUUGGUAUUCCGAGGGGCAUGCCUGUUCGAGCGUCAUAUUAACCACUCCCGCUUGCGGGGUCUUGGGCUUCGCCUCCGGGCGGGCCUUAAAAUCAGUGGCGGUGCCGUCGGGCUCUACGCGUAGUAAAUUUUCUCGCGAUAGGGUCCCGGUGGAUGCUUGCCAACAACCCCCAACUUCUUAAGGUUGACCUUGGAUCAGGUAGGGAUACCCGCUGAACUUAAGCAUAUCAAUAAGCGGAGGA